AUGACCCUAUUGCCCAAACGUGCUAACGCCCACCAGCUACGUGACUACCGGCCGAUAUGCUUGAUACACCUGGUGGCCAAGAUCUUCACGAAAGUACUAUCGCUGCGCCUUGCCCCAAAGCUGGACAGCCUGGUUAGUCGUAACCAGAACGCAUUCAUCACCGGACGCAGCCUCCACGAUAACUUCAUCCUUGUCAGGCAAUCGCUUAAGAUGUUGCAUCAACUUGGCUAUUAG
RNAcentral lists this ribosomal RNA (234 nucleotides) under Triticum aestivum (bread wheat). Its description in RNAcentral is "partial small subunit ribosomal RNA". The record is from RNAcentral. Lineage: Eukaryota; Viridiplantae; Streptophyta; Magnoliopsida; Poales; Poaceae.